CAGAAACCCUAGGAAAGCCUUUUGGCUUUCCCGUCAGCCCAGUGCGCUGGAGUUCAGAGCUGGUGAUCUCACCUGGAACUGCAGAGCAAGAGGACACAGAGCUGGCAGAGUGGGGGCAGCUAUUUCCAGAGGAAGAUGUUUAAAAGGGCUCCAAGUCUUCCAACCAGCAGCUCAGAGUGUCAGCCCCCUGCUACUUUUGGAGGAAUGAAAAUUAUUUCAGGACAUUGCAUACCUGGACACAAUAUCUGUUACAAAAACAACCACGGUCUAAGGUAAUGUGAUAGACUACUACGGGCAUUAAGCCAUAUGGCAUUGGACAAGUGUUAUGCAGGAAGCCUGCUCCAAAGAUGUUUUUGGGCACAUUUGGGAUAGCAGCAGUUUCUUUUUGAAGAUGAAACACUUUGCAAGAAUGAAUGCAGAAUUUAUUAUGAGAGAGGGAACACAUGAAGGGCGAAGGGACUGGUCGAUUUAUUGA
This 475-nucleotide long non-coding RNA is filed under the name Coturnix japonica (Japanese quail). RNAcentral's name for it is "lncRNA (ENSCJPG00005004759.1)". Lineage: Eukaryota; Metazoa; Chordata; Aves; Galliformes; Phasianidae. The record is from RNAcentral.